CCCGUCGUAAACGUCUCAUCAUGUCUCUACGGGAACAGAUCGUCAACGAGGGGAAGGACAAGGCCUUUCUCCUCAGGAGGUUACAGUGUCUACAGAGACAGGGAGCAGGCAGACCUAGACCACAGGUGCACUUCGAGGAGGAGAAACCGACCAGGCCAGAGUCAGGGCAGCUUAGAGAAGAAGCACGCCCUCCUCCCUCCUUCCAACACCCAUCCACCCCCAUGGAGGCCCCCUCCGUGUUAACUCGGCCUCCCUGGGACAGCUCCCCCAGGCUAGGUAGAGCCCAGCCCCCAGUCCCCGUGGUGGUGCCCCAGAGGCAGCCCUGGUCGCGGCCGGACCCCAGCCAGCAGGCAGGCGUGCUGGGUAGAGGAGGAGCGACCAGCCCCUCCCCCUCCAGAUCCACUGUGGCCAGUCAGGGGUAGAGGAUGGCUUCAGGGAAGGCCCCACGGGGGGCCCAGAUUGGAGCCGCUGCCUUCCCGCGAGGUACCCGUCCUGCCUGGGUCGGUGCCUGAGAGCGCCCCCCCUCCCCCACGGAGACCAGGGUCCAGCAGAGCAGAGGUGAACCAGGGACAACAUCAGUCCUAGCUAGACUCAGAGAGAGGAUAGGAGCCCACAUCAACUGUCGGGCUCAGACAUGGUCUGCUUCCAAAAUGCCACACUAUUCCAUAGGACUCAGGUCAAAUGUAGUGCACUAUGUAGGGAAUAGUGUGCCAUAGAGCUCUGGUCUACAGUAGUGCACUAUGUAGGGAAUAGGGUGUCAUAGGGCUCUGGUCUAAAGUAGUGCACUAUGUAGGGAAUAGGGUGUCAUAGAGCUCUGGUCUAAAGUAGUGCACUAUGUAGGGAAAAGGGUGUUGUCCCAGAAGAAGAUUUAAGUGUUAGUUAGUUGAGAUAAAGGUAGGUGAUCUUUAUGUUGAGUUAUGUUGAUAUGCUGAGUUAUGUUGAUAUGCUGAGAUAUGUUGAUAUGCUGAGUUAUGUUGAGUUAUGUUGAUAUGCUGAGAUAUGUUGAUAUGCUGAGAUAUGUUGAUAUGCUGAGUUAUGUUGAUAUGCUGAGAUAUGUUGAUAUGCUGAGAUAUGUUGAUAUGCUGAGAUAUGUUGAUAUGCUGAGUUAUGUUGAUAUGCUGAGAUAUGUUGAUAUGCUGAGUUAUGUUGAGAUAUGUUGAUAUGCUGAGAUAUGUUGAUAUGCUGAGUUAUGUUGAGUUAUGUUGAUAUGCUGAGUUAUGUUGAGUUAUGUUGUUAUGUUGAGUUAUGUUGAUAUGCUGAGUUAUGUUGGUAGGGUGUUGAUUCUUUUUGAAAUUCUAAUAUUUUAUAAGUCUUGUUCUGUAUCAGUUGAUUUUGAAUUAAAUUCUUUGUCAUCUGUAAAUAACAUGUUUGAGUCAGUCAGUGGCCGUGUCUGAAAUCUGGCGUGCCUACCACCAGGGUAGUAUUGCUUCUGGAGGACUGGCGUGCCUACCACCAGGGUAGUAUUGCUUCUGGAGGACUGGCGUGCCUACCACCAGGGUAGUAUUGAUGCUGGAGGACUGGCGUGCCUACCACCAGGGUAGUAUUGCUGCUGGAGGACUGGCGUGCCUACCACCAGGGUAGUAUUGCUGCUGGAGGACUGGCGUGCCUACCACCAGGGUAGUAUUGCUGCUGGAGGACUGGCGUGCCUACCACCAGGGUAGUAUUGCUGCUGGAGGACUGGCGUGCCUACUACCAGGGUAGUAUUGCUGCUGGAGGACUGGCGUGCCUACUACCAGGGUAGUAUUGCUGCUGGAGGACUGGCGUGCCUACUACCAGGGUAGUAUUGCUGCUGGAGGACUGGCGUGCCUACUACCAGGGUAGUAGGGCUGGAGGACUGGCGUGCCUACUACCAGGGUAGUAUUGCUGCUGGAGGACUGGCGUGCCUACUACCAGGGUAGUAUUGCUGCUGGAGGACUGGCGUGCCUACUACCAGGGUAGUAUUGCUGCUGGAGGACUGGCGUGCCUACUACCAGGGUAGUAUUGCUGCUGGAGGACUGGCGUGCCUACUACCAGGGUAGUAUUGCUGCUGGAGGACUGGCGUGCCUACCACCAGGGUAGUAUUGCUGCUGGAGGACUGGCGUGCCUACUACCAGGGUAGUAUUGCUGCUGGAGGACUGGCGUGCCUACUACCAGGGUAGUAUUGCUGCUG
Long non-coding RNA from Oncorhynchus tshawytscha (Chinook salmon), 2149 nucleotides. The record is from Ensembl. NCBI's taxonomy places the organism in Eukaryota, Metazoa, Chordata, Actinopteri, Salmoniformes, Salmonidae.